GGGGAAUAUUGCACAAUGGGCGAAAGCCUGAUGCAGCAACGCCGCGUGAGUGAUGAAGGCCUUCGGGUUGUAAAGCUCUGUCUUUUGGGACGAUAAUGACGGUACCAAAGGAGGAAGCCACGGCUAACUACGUGCCAGCAGCCGCGGUAAUACGUAGGUGGCAAGCGUUGUCCGGAUUUACUGGGCGUAAAGGAUGCGUAGGCGGAUAUUUAAGUGAGAUGUGAAAUUCCCGAGCUUAACUUGGGAGCUGCAUUUCAAACUGGAUAUCUAGAGUGCGGGAGAGGAGAAUGGAAUUCCUAGUGUAGCGGUGAAAUGCGUAGAGAUUAGGAAGAACACCAGUGGCGAAGGCGAUUCUCUGGACCGUAACUGACGCUGAGGCAUGAAAGCGUGGGUAGCAAAC
Molecule: ribosomal RNA, 400 nt
Filed under: uncultured bacterium
Lineage: Bacteria
Description: bacterial SSU rRNA
Rfam family: Bacterial small subunit ribosomal RNA
Source: RNAcentral